Molecule: ribosomal RNA, 590 nt
Filed under: uncultured marine eukaryote
Lineage: Eukaryota
Description: SSU rRNA
Rfam family: Eukaryotic small subunit ribosomal RNA
Source: RNAcentral
UACCUGGUUGAUCCUGCCAGUAGUCAUAUGCUUGUCUUAAAGAUUAAGCCAUGCAUGUCUAAGUAUAAGCAUUUAUACCGCGAGACUGCGAACGGCUCAUUAAAACAGUUAUGGUUUAUUUGAUGGUUCCUUUGCUACUUGGAUAACCGUAGUAAUUCUAGAGCUAAUACAUGCACGAAGGGGCGACUCACGAAGCCCUGUAUUUAUUAGAUUAAAGCCAACCACCUCCGGGUGUUCGUGGUGAAUCAUAGUAACUUCUCGGAUCGCCGGCUCUACGCCAGCGACGUGUCAUUCAAAUUUCUGCCCUAUCAGCUUUAGAUGGUAGGAUAUGGGCCUACCAUGGCGGUGACGGGUAACGGAGAAUUAGGGUUCGAUUCCGGAGAGGGAGCCUGAGAAACGGCUACCACUUCUAAGGAAGGCAGCAGGCGCGCAAAUUACCCAAUCCUGACUCAGGGAGGUAGUGACAAGAAAUAACAAUAAACCGGCUUAUGCCGGUUUAAUUGGAAUGAGUACACUUUAAACAUCUUAACGAGGAACAAUUGGAGGGCAAGUCUGGUGCCAGCAGCCGCGGUAAUUCCAGCUCCAAUAGC